Molecule: ribosomal RNA, 207 nt
Filed under: uncultured bacterium
Lineage: Bacteria
Description: partial 16S ribosomal RNA
Rfam family: Bacterial small subunit ribosomal RNA
Source: RNAcentral
AGCGCAGGUGGUUUAUUAAGUCUGGUGUAAAAGGCAGUGGCUCAACCAUUGUAUGCAUUGGAAACUGGUAGACUUGAGUGCAGGAGAGGAGAGUGGAAUUCCAUGUGUAGCGGUGAAAUGCGUAGAUAUAUGGAGGAACACCGGUGGCGAAAGCGGCUCUCUGGCCUGUAACUGACACUGAGGCUCGAAAGGCGUGGGGAGCAAACA